RNAcentral lists this transfer RNA (68 nucleotides) under Gibbosula laosensis. RNAcentral describes it as "tRNA-Gln". The record is from RNAcentral. Lineage: Eukaryota; Metazoa; Mollusca; Bivalvia; Unionida; Margaritiferidae.
UGAAGGCUGGUGAAAUAAGCACAAAUGAAUUUGGAUCAUUAAAUGGAGCCAAUAAACUCCGUCUUCAU